ACAAAGGAGCCAUCUGGCCAGGCAGGGGCGGGUGCAGGCUCAGCCCCUCGGUGUCCCAGGCAGCUAGGGGGUGGGGUGCUGUCUGCACAGGCAGGCUGAGCUUAGGACCGAGGCCCCUCUCUGCAGCCUGGUACAGGCAGUGUCCACAUAGCCCAGGACUUCUCCACCUCAGCACUAAUGACACAUAGGGGCAGAUGAUUCUCGGGAGCGGGGCGUGAGGCUGUCCUGUACAUUGUAGGAUGUUGAGCAGCAUCCCCGGCCUCUACCUAUUAGAUGGCGAUAGCAUCCCCCGUCUCAAAUUAUGUAAGGCAAAAAGAUUUUCAAAUGUCCCCUGGGGACAAAAUCAACCCGAGUUAAGAGCCACUGACUGAGACCGGCAGCUCUCUCUCCUCACCCACCAGUUCCCAUGUUCCAUGCUUUUCCUGGGUAAUGAACCCCCGUCAGGGCCCAGGAGCUGACUGCAGCAGCUGCUUCAUGUACAUCUCACUGCAUCCUCCCACCAACGCUGUGAUGUGGAGGUGAAGAAGAUCUCCAUUUUACAGGAGAAGAAACGAAGACCUGGAAAGCACUGAUGACUUCAGGUUGCAGCCAGCCAUCAGGGAGCCAGCAAUAGAUGCAAGGAUUGGAGGACUCUGAGGCUAAUAUGGAGUAGAAUGCUCAGUAAAUGCCAGCUGCAGUGGGGUGGCCAUCCCAGGGGAUGAUGCCCCAGUGCCCAGGUCCUCUGUGCAAGUUCAUCCCAAGCUGUGCCAUCCCUUCCAAAUCCUUCACAAGCCAGAUGCAGGAGCGAAUCUUGUCACUGAGUUGCAGUCAUGGCCUAAGGGUGUUUCAGGAUAAACAGAAGAAGCAGAGGACAGCUGAUCUGGAUGUGUUGCCUCCCCCACUAACAUUAUUGUUACCCUCUUGGAAUUAGAGACCAUGCCAGCCUGUAUCUCCUCCUUCCUCUCUGUCCUGUGCAGAGCUGAGUGUGUCCUCAAUGUUUACAUAAAAUGCCAUAAAUCAUGGAAUCUUUAAGCACAAGAGACCUCAGAGGCCAACUCCAAGCCACAAACAAGGAACCCUGAAUCGAAAGGGAAUCUAAAGCUUCAGGCAAAGAGAGAGGAGAUUGGAUGGUGUGUCAAGCACAGUGCUACCCCCUUUAUAGGCAUGGCAUUGAGGUAGGACAUGGGACUUGACUCUGGAGGCAGGGCUCAGGUACGGGACCAAACUGAAGACUAGCUAAAAUAGGGACAGGGUGAAAACACCUUUCCAUAGGAAAUGCCUGUCAGUGUGCCAUGUCAGUUUAUCAUUGCCAUGGCAACACCUGGAAGUUACUGCCCCUUUCCAUGGCAACAACCCGAUGACUGGAAAGUUUCCAACCCUUUUCUAGAAAUUUCUGCAUAAUGCACCCUUUAAUUUGCAUAUAAUUAAAAGUGGGUAUAAAUAUGACUGCAGGACUGCCUCUGAGCUGCUACUCUGGGCACAUUGCCUAUGGGGUAGCCCUGCUCUGCAAGAAGAAGUACCUCUGCUGCUGUGGUACACUGCCACUUCAAGAAAAGUUGCUAACACCACUGGCUAGCCCUUGAAGCCCUUGAAUUAUUUCCUAGGCAAAGCCAAGAACUCUCGCAAGCUAAACCCCAAUUUGGGGGGCUCACCUGCCCUGCAUCAGCGUAAUUUAAUACUCACAGCUACCCUCCAAAGCCAGCAUCAUGAUACCCACCUGAGAGGUCAGAAAACCGAGACACGGAGUGAUGGCGGCUGACUCAGUUCCCCUAGCUGGGACUCACAGCUGGAUGCAAGCUGCCUAACCUGAGGCUUCAGGCUCUAUCCACAGUCUGCAGGCAUACUGACUGGCCUCUGUUUAUGCAUCUGUGAAAUGGGGAUGAUGAGGGCAAGUAUUCAUACUAUGCCCCACCCAGCAGGCUUCAGGCAAUGAGGAACUAUAAGCAUGGAUGUGAAUGUGUUCUGGACAUGGAAUGGAUGAUACAAAGAGAAUGGAUACUCAGGUGCCCAGAGAGCCCUGGCUUUGUUCCUGGAAGUGGUCAGAUAAAAAAACCAAAAAAAAAAAAACAGUUUGGAUGUGGAGUCAGGAAGAACUAGGUUCAAAUAUUACCUUUUCCACUUAAUCAGUGCCUGACCUUUGGCAGGUAACUCUACCAACCCUUCCACCCGCCUUUUGUAAAUAUUCACAGAGUGAGGGUCAUGUGCAAGAUACAGAAGUCAGUCUGGAUUCAAAUAGGCUCUGCUGGGGUGACAUGUAGGAAUCUGCACAAGUGAUUUGUCAUCGUCACCAUCAUCAUCACUGAGGCACAGCACACAUAUAAUACAAUGCAUAAAUCUAAAAGCAAAACCUGAAGAAUUUCUGCAUGUGCAUAGUGUUGUAGACUAAAUUGUGUCCUCCCACCCCCUGAAAAGUUAUCUAUUGAAGUCCUGACCUUCAUAACUUGGGAAAAUGGCUGUAUUUGAAGACAAGAUCUUUAAAGAAGUAAAGUAAAAUGAGGCCAUUAGGGUGGGCCCUAAUCCAUUUUACUGAUGUCAUGCACGGAUGCAUGUGUACAGAGGAAAGGCCAUGUGAGGACACGGCGAGAAGACGGCCACCUGCAAGCCAAGGAGAGAGAUCUCAAGAGAGACCAAACCUGCUGGCCCCUGAUCUUACACUUCCAGCUUCCAGAAUUGUAAGAAAGUAAACUUCGGUUGUCCAACCUACCCAGUCUGUGGUAUUUUGUUAUGGUAGCCUGGUCAGACUAAUACACAUAACCUUGUGUAACCAGCACUACGAUUAGGAGCAGAAUAUUUCCAAUAACCCAGCAGCCCCUGCCAUCAUGACCUUCUCAAUCUUGCCCUCUACCCCCAGAAGUAAUCAUUGCUCUGAUCCCUGUUAUCAUCAACUAGUUCUGUCCAUUUCUGAACUUCAUAUAGGUGGAACCAUACAAUAUGUUUCCUUUGUGCCUGGCUUCUUUGACUCAGCAUUCCAUUUCUGAAAUGCAUCUUUCCUAUUGGGUGCAGCCGUCAUUCAUUCUUUUUCUUUGCUGUAUAAUAUUCCACCGUGUGACUUCAUCACAGUUUGUUUAUCCAUUUCCCCAUUGAUACACAUUUUGGUUGUUUCUAUUUUUUAGCUCUUUUGAAUAAAGCUCUUAUGGGCAUUCUUGUGCAAGUCUUCAA
Molecule: long non-coding RNA, 3138 nt
Organism: Homo sapiens (human)
Lineage: Eukaryota; Metazoa; Chordata; Mammalia; Primates; Hominidae
Exons: 3
Source: RefSeq, a predicted model, not a curated record